This is a long non-coding RNA of Parus major (Great Tit), 4464 nucleotides long. RefSeq lists it as uncharacterized. The record is from RefSeq and is a predicted model, not a curated record. Lineage: Eukaryota; Metazoa; Chordata; Aves; Passeriformes; Paridae. The transcript is spliced from 3 exons.
AUCAGCUUCUUUAUAAAAUGCUGGCAUCUGCCAUUUUUUCACCUAGAAUAUUUGGUGAUAUAAUUCACAUCUCAAAUAUGGGGUUUAUAUAUGGGGGUUUGGGGUUUGCAUAGGUCUUGCACAUGACAUUGUGCAGUGAUAUGUUUAGUCAUUGACUGGAUAUAAUACAGUUGAUAACAAUGUUUUCCACACAGGAGCUUCAGACAAGGACUACAUCUUCAAAACCUUCAGUGAUGUAAAUUCUUGUGGGAGUGUGAGUUCCUGAACUGAUACAUAAUAUCUACUUUUACUCAGUUAAAAAGAACUGGUUUGGGAAUCUCAGCCCAGAUCUGUACAGAUUUGCAAAGACACCGCUAAAAACAUCUCCUGUGUCUUCACUGACAUUAUUCAAAACCUGGGAGUUCUUCUGAUUUUCCUAGAAGGGGGCUAUAUAGAAAGGAUUUUUCUAUUGGGAAGGAGAGUAAAGCAGCCUUGUUCUCCUACUUGUUAAUUUGAAUCAAUGCAUUUUGUAUUAACUUCCUGUAGUAUAAGGACUUGCCCUUCCAGGUACUUGUAGUGCAGAAUCACAUCAAGUGUGUCUCUAUGGAAAUCUCUGAAUGUUAAAAAAAAAAAAUAAAAAAUUGCUUUGUGCAGUGUGUUACUUAUUUUGAACAACAGCUAGCAUUUUUGUGAGAACUAAAUGCUACCUGACAUUGAGCUAUGAAUUUUAACUGUGAUAGAUUUGCAGCUUCAAGUGAGUUUUCUGCACUACUUCACAUGGUCUUCACAUAGACUUCUGUUAUCAGUAGAAUGUGAGUUGGUGGAAAGCUUUUUAUAUUGGUCUUCAGUAGUUAAAAUCAAUAUAUUGUUACUAGAAAAGCAGAUUUGAUCUUAAUCUUGUUAUCUAAGGGACAGCGGUUAAUUUGUCUACAUUGCGAAACUAAUCCUUACUGUGAACAUUUCCUAAAUCAAAGGAAAAUUUCCAAAGAAACUGUAUAAUCUGAUUUAGUAAAUUCAUGAACUUAAACAGCUCUUGUUUUACUCACUUGAAAUAAAAUAUAAAAGAAAACAAUUUCACCUUAGUAAUUUUUUUAUAAAUCAUGCAGGUUUGCAUAGCUUUUAUUGCUAAGUUUUCUUUCUAAUAUACUAGGUUAUUUCAAAUGAGCUAUUUUGUAUCCCAAAAAAUUGCAUAAAAAAGAACACAAUUUUAUUAUGCAUUGAACUAUUAAUGGUUUUGUGUGUGCAGACCACAUACUAAUAAAGUUAUAUCCUUCUGCCAUCUCUGUCAUCUAGCCAAACAUACAGACUGCUAUAUAGACUGAAGAUUUUUUUAUAUUUCUUAUUUUAUUUGAUCAUGGUUUAUUAUACAAACAUUAUCUAAAUUGUAUUGAAAGUAUUAUCACACAAGUCAACUAUGUAAAAAAAGAAUUAUUAUCUUUGUAAGCAAGCUGUUCACUCAGAUUUUACUCCAAGAUUUUUUACUGGAUAAUAGGCAAUAAAAUAUUUGAAUAGCCUACUUUGAAACCUAUGCCAAAAUCAAUACUGUCGCCCUCUCUAUGAACUGAUAUAAACCAUCUUUGCCUGCCUGCCUGCCAAAGGAGCCAAGCUAAAUCUGUAAAUCAUCAAUUUGCAAAUUUAUUUUGUCUCAAGAUUUACAAAAGUGAUUAAGCUUCUGCUCCUACACACACUAAGUAUAUCUGGUGACUUCCAUGUCCAUGAAGAACCAUGUUUAUUCUGAAUAUUUGCAUACAUGCAUUUUAAUACAUGUUCCAUCUUUGUUGGCAGCUGAGUGCAGUGGACCACAAAUUCUGAUGUAAAAAAUCAGUAUUAUACUUCAAUUCUCUUCUGUUGCGGCUGCUUGAAUGGAGACUACUUUUAGCCUAUAUUUUUCAUCCUUAAGUUGUUGACUGAAUAACCCUACGAUAGCACCCUAACUCAAAAAUUGGUACAAGGUGGAUUCUCAGGUUAUUUCCCUGAAAAUAAAAGUUGUUUGGAUAUAUUCUACUAAUGCAUAAUGGUUUCCAGUGCAGAUGUUCUGUUCUGCAAGUUAGAUGCUUUAAAGAAUGGUGUCAAGAUGGUUUGUUGCUAAUACCCAUUUUGUUUGGAAGAAAGGAGGAUGGAGUUACAGGUUGAGAUCAAACAAAUUUCUCUAACUUUCUAAGACCAACAGUCAUAGUUUCUACUUAGUUAUUACACUGAAUCUUAGAAGAUGGCAAAGACUAAGUCUGUGACCUCUGGAUUUAAAUUCAAGAGAGAUUCAUCAGCUCAGUUGUCCUGUGAAAUUGCUGUCAGAAGAGGGCCCUUCCUGGGGUCAAAGUACCAGAUUCUUCACUGGUGGUUCAUUUACCAAAUAAUUGAUUGUACUUUGAAGUAGCAUGCAAUUCAAAUUAGUCUGUAAACAUCCACCUGUGCACAAGUGUGCAAUGAAGGAUUGAACAUACUGUGCAGUGAUAGGCUACCAUGUCUUUGAGAAGGCUAUAUGAUAAACAAAAAGAACUGGUUGUACAGGGAAGGACAGGCCAUGUCCAAGGAGUCACUGAAAUUAGAUUUUAAGUACAUUGUAUUAGCUCAGUAGCAAGUUAUAACACUGCGUUUUUUUCUGUUUUAAAUGGUCUUUUUAAUACAUUCUGACACCUCACUCAACCUAAUAAGUAAUCCUAUGUUUAAAAAAAUUAAACUGUUAUCUAAUUUCAUAUUUUAAGAAGAACUUAGUAGGUGCUAUUUCACUUAGUGUUUAUGGUGAUAUUAAGUUCUACUUUUCUCUGCUCUACUAAAAAUCCAUUAAUACAGAGUCAUUAAGUUCCACUGAAAAAUUACCAGACAUUUUGUCGUGUCAUUUCAGGUCAAAACAACAGAAGUAACAAAGACUGGUUACUGAAUUUAGCAAACUAAAAGCUAUUCAUUCAAAAGUUCACGAUAGUACACUGAUUUCAAUAGAAAGACUCCUAAAUUAAUGAAGCAAGUUCUACUUGAUAUACUUGGUGUUAAAAACAUCUCCUGUGUUUUGGUUUUGUUGGCUCACUUGUAUCUACCAGCAGAACCUUUGAACUGGAACAUUUUUGGUCAGCAUUCUGUCUCGAGUUAUCCUGUCAUGACAUUAAAGACAUGCAUUCUGCCAGUAUUUCAAAAGUGAGUAUAUUUUUCUUCUGUGCAUCCUGGAUUUAUGCAAUCUAUCUGGAAUAUAUCUCAAAUAUAAGAAAGAAGAAUCCGUGUUGAUGAUGACUUUCCUUACCACUUGCUUUUAGACACAUGGAUGUGAGGAAACAGAGCAGUGAACAGUAGAACAUUCUUUAGAGAAGAUAUUAUUUCUGGAGAAAUCGGGUGGAAGAUAAAUGACGCUUCAGAAUAAUGAUGUGCCCAAGAGGUAUCUGAGAUACUUCAUCAUUUUCAAAUUCCUAAGCACAGAAUACUUCUUUGUGCUCAGGCUAACCCAGAUUUAUACCAGAGUGUACAAUAACAUUUCUUUAAUUGUUUUUUCAGAGUGGGUGUGUUCCCUGCGAGUCAGCAGCUGCUUGAAAUGAGCCAUGUUUCCAUAAAAAUUUGUGUCUAAAUAUCUAUGUAUACAUAGAAAUACUUAUUCAAAUGGAAAUUUUAUUUUGAAAUUGUAUUUAUAUAUUUCUUUUUCUAAAAUGAGUCAGUCUUCUGCUUUGAACUGGGAUAUAGAUUAGUGGUUUUCUUGUCUGAAAUAAAGUAAAAUGAAAUAAUCUAUUAGAAUUACAUAUUUAAAAUAAGUGAUUUUAGCAGUUUCAUUAUUUUAAGGUUGCAGUAGUCUGUAUUUCUAAAAUCAGGACUGCCAAAAGGUUGUGCCACUAGAGAGUGAUGAAAACUGCAAGUUGGUCUGAUGCUGAUGUUGAUGCUGAAGAUUUGCUUUCACUGAGAAAGACAUAGUUCAGGCUACACUUCUCUAUUACACUCUUGAUUCAAUAAAUACAUCUCAUAUUUUCUCACAAUAUUCUGUCAGGUAUGCUUACACCAAUUUAUAUGAUUUGCUCCUCAUGACAAAAAUAUUUUCGAUGUACCCAAAAGUGUGGAUAUCAUUGCUAGGUCAUUCUUAAUUGGCAUUGCAUGGUCAUAGUGAUCAGGACAGGUGCCUGAGGGCUAAAAGAAAAUAAAUUUCACUUCAAUGUACAAAAAGGGCAAGAAAGAGGACUUGGGGAAUUACCAGCCAGCCUUUCAGCCUCUCCUCAAUUCCUGGAAGAGGAAUGGAGCAGCUAAACCUGGAGGCCAUCUCAAAGCACAUGGAAGACAAGAGCAUCAAGAGGAGUCAACAUGUGUUUACCAAAAUAAAAUCAUGCUUAACCAAUCUUAUUGUCUCCUGUGUUGGGACAAUUGGCUGAAUAGAUGUGGGAAGAACAGUGGAUGUUGUCUACCUCAACUUCAGCAAGGCUUCCAACACCUGUCACUAGUGGCGUCCCCCAAGUACAGGAUAUAGGGUUAUAAUGAUUGAAGUGGUUAAGGCUUACGCUCCCCAGAAGGCCCUGUGGG